UUUAUGUUUGUUUUUCAUUAAUACUGAAAGGAAAAAAUGCAGCAUUCCCUUUCAAGGAAGUGUUCUGAGAGAUGAUAUGUGUAAACACAUACCUGUCUUUAUUGGAGGAAAGAUAAUUUCUUGAUCAACUCCGUUUUUAUUAUUCUCAUGUCUGACAAUACAUCUGUGUUCUUUGUCCAGUGACUUUUCUGGCACCGUUAACCAGCUAAAUUUCAUGUAUGUGUCGUUAGUCUUCAUGGUGUUCCCCUCCUGUGAUCCCAGAAUUGUGUUGCUCUUCUUUUCUUGCCAAUGUAUCUUAAUAACAUCCGGGAAAAAUUUCUCAAGAAGACAAAGAUUUACGACGUUUCCAACUGGAUUUAAUUGAUUUGAUAUCUCGACCAUUUUUGCAUCAAGAACAAAAACUGUUUUUAAUAAAUAUUUGCUGAGAGGAUGAAUGAACAAAUGAAGAUGUAAAAUGAUGAAGACUCUUUUCAUUGACCUUGG
RNAcentral lists this long non-coding RNA (483 nucleotides) under Pongo abelii (Sumatran orangutan). RNAcentral describes it as "lncRNA (ENSPPYG00000033686.1)". The record is from RNAcentral. Lineage: Eukaryota; Metazoa; Chordata; Mammalia; Primates; Hominidae.